This 253-nucleotide ribosomal RNA is filed under the name uncultured bacterium. Its description in RNAcentral is "partial 16S ribosomal RNA". It matches the Rfam family "Bacterial small subunit ribosomal RNA", at positions 524 to 776 of the family's 1533-position model. The record is from RNAcentral.
UACGGAGGGAGCUAGCGUUGUUCGGAAUUACUGGGCGUAAAGGGCGCGUAGGCGGCUUGAUAAGCGUGCGGUGAAAGCCCGGGGCUCAACCCCGGGUCGGCCGUGCGAACUGUCGAGCUGGAGCACUGUAGAGGCAGGUGGAAUUCCGGGUGUAGCGGUGGAAUGCGUAGAGAUCCGGAAGAACACCGGUGGCGAAGGCGGCCUGCUGGGCAGUGGCUGACGCUGAGGCGCGACAGCGUGGGGAGCAAACAGG